RNAcentral lists this ribosomal RNA (495 nucleotides) under uncultured bacterium. Its description in RNAcentral is "partial 16S ribosomal RNA". It matches the Rfam family "Bacterial small subunit ribosomal RNA", at positions 28 to 507 of the family's 1533-position model. The record is from RNAcentral.
GACGAACGCUGGCGGCGUGCCUAAUACAUGCAAGUAGAACGCUGAAGGAGGAGCUUGCUUCUCUGGAUGAGUUGCGAACGGGUGAGUAACGCGUAGGUAACCUGCCUGGUAGCGGGGGAUAACUAUUGGAAACGAUAGCUAAUACCGCAUAAUAGCAGUUAUUGCAUGAUAACUGUCUGAAAGGUGCAAUUGCACCACUACCAGAUGGACCUGCGUUGUAUUAGCUAGUUGGUGGGGUAACGGCUCACCAAGGCGACGAUACAUAGCCGACCUGAGAGGGUGAUCGGCCACACUGGGACUGAGACACGGCCCAGACUCCUACGGGAGGCAGCAGUAGGGAAUCUUCGGCAAUGGACGGAAGUCUGACCGAGCAACGCCGCGUGAGUGAAGAAGGUUUUCGGAUCGUAAAGCUCUGUUGUAAGAGAAGAACGAGUGUGAGAGUGGAAAGUUCACACUGUGACGGUAUCUUACCAGAAAGGGACGGCUAACUACGUG